CUCUUAUAAAAUCAUACAGGAAACAUUAUCAAACAUAAAAUGAUGUUUGACUUUCUUUAUUCUAAAAACUAAUAAAAAUAGGUGCUAAAAAUUUUCCAAAUGAAAAUAAAUAUUGCUAAACCAAAGAGAAAUGUUAUCUAAGCCCCGUAUAAAAAAUAAAUAAAUCUUGUUCCAAUUGCAUCAAAAAACCCAUUAAGGGCCCUCCAGCACAGGGUUAAUACCAACGAGUUUCCACCUCCAGCUGCUCCUAGAGUGGCCACAGCAUGAGCCAUCUGGUGGGGGACCUAGCCGCCAACAGACACUUCCUGUACAGGGGAGGGGGGAGGGGGCCAGGCAGCCGUUAGACAGCACAACCGAACCCAACACCGGGGCCCAACGGCAGGGGCUUGGGCAGGAGCAAGGUCCGAGGGCUGCCAGGUCCACGCUGCUUUUAUGAGCUGUAACACUCACCGCGAAGAUCUGCAGCUUCACUCCUGAGCCCAGCGAGACCACGAGCCCACCGGGAGGAACAAACAACUCCAGACGCGCUGCCUUAAGAGCUGUAACACUUGCCGUGAAGGUCUGCAGCUUCACUCCUGAGCCAGCGAGACCACGAACCCACCAGAAGGAAGAAACUCCGAACACAUCUCAACAUCAGAACGGACAGACUCCAGACGCACCACCUUAAGAGCUGUAACACUCACCGCGAGGUUCCGCGGCUUCAUUCUUGAAGUCAGUAAGACCAAGAACCCACCAAUUCCGGACACAGUAGCAUUUGGGAAUAAUAAGAAUUGUAGCUGGGCAUGGUGGUACACGCCUGUAGACCCCUAGCAGCUGCCAUCAUCCUCACCAUCCGCAUAUUAUUGAUAUAUUAACUCUUUGAUGGCAACCAUAGCUUAUCCCCCUUAUCUCCCUAUGCCCUACAGCAGGGCAGUGGAAUGGUUAAGAGGCUUUGAAGUCUAAGAGUGCUGGCUUAAAACCCUAAUUUGUCAUUUUGGAUGUGUGGCUUUGGACACUUGGGGCAGGUCACCUAUGUUCUUCAAGCCCUGUAUCCUUAUCUGUCAGAUGAUGAUUUUUUUUUUUUUAGACGAAGUCUCACUCUCUUGCCCGGGCUGGAGUGCAGUGGCAUGAUCUCGGCUUACUGCAAGCUCCACCUCCCGGGUUGACGCCAUUCUCCUGCCUCAGCUUCCUGAGUAGCUGGGACUACAGGCUCCUGCCACCACCCGUGGCUAAUUUUUUUGUAUUUUUAGUAGAGACAGGGUUUCACCAUGUUAGCCAGGAUGGUCUCGAUCUCCUGACCUCGUGAUCUGCCCGCCCCAGCCUCCCAAAGUAUCAGAUGAUUUUAACAACUAUGCUUCCAUGACUUGCUGGGCUAGAUGAUAUGACUGUAAAAUGCCUAACCCAUGGUUUAGCAUCAAGUAAGCAAAUUGUAAAUGGUAGCACUGCUCUGCCUAUGACUAUUUAGUCUUGUGCUUUAAACUCAAAUAUUUGUUGGCCUACUGAAGUCACCACACAGAGAAAGAUGCUUUUCAUUCUCAGUAAAGAACUUUGGGAGAUAACUGGGGCAGGCAGCAAGAGAACAGAUGUCAUAUGUCUAGCAUCAGCAAACUCAUCAGAACUGAUGGGCAGCUCACUUUGCUUAGAACCUGCACCAGCAUACACACGGGGCUGCUUCCCAGUCACACUGCUCCUGGGAAGGUAGGGGGGCUGCUGUUCUGCAAUUAGCGCGGUUCUUUACCUCCUAUUACCGAACUGCCAGAGUUCAUUUGUGUUCAGUUAGGUAGAUGACCAAUUCUUGUUCAUUCCUAUUUUCUUUUGCUCACUAAUGUGUUUAACGUUCACUAACCUACCAAAUGUGAUUUAUUAGCGACUUUUUCUUUGAAGAUGGAGUGGAGGAAUCCUAGCGCUUUCUGCAACAUGCUACUGCUGUUAUGGAACAGUGCAGAUAUGGAAGUGCAUCAGCCGGGGAUGGGGAGAGGCUAGGGCAGUACAUGUGAAUGGAGAGGUAGCCCCACCAGUGUGUUUUCUGAAAUACAGUCCCGCAGAGGGCAGUCUUGGGAAAUUACUGUUCUCACACACUCUUCUUGACCCUACCCCUCCAGCACCUCCCUUGCUAUCCAAGGGUUGGGAUUUUUAAAAAGAAAAACAAAUUUUAAAAAAAGCAGUGUGAAUCUUUUGCCAUCUUGUAAGGGUGAAAAGCCCCCUACCAAGUCGGGAUGAACAUUCAUGCGUGUGCUUGAGGGCUUGGGAAAAAGACAGGGCUUGGCCCCACAGUGCAGGUAGGCCCAGUGAUCCUAUAAUAGGGGCCAGGAGAUGGGAGGUCCCCUGUGGGCAGGAGUUCAAGUAUGUGGUAUUAUAUGACUGGUGCUUGAUGAACCCAGGGAGAGGGCACCAAAAACAAUGGUAUUUAAUUGUAAAAUCUCCACCCCCUGAGGAUAUGUUUUCAGGUCUGGGUGACUAAUUAGACUGGGAAACAAGGGCAGGAACGAUGGCCCUGUGCUUGCUCUGCCCGCUGCCUCUGUGGAUGUGUGGGCUGCUGGCUUCAGUCCUGCUUUUCUUUCUGAUGGUAUUGUUUAUGCUAUGUGUUUUUGCAGGAGGCCUGAGGUGGGCUGGGUUCUCCUCCUAUGGCAGGGCUUCACUCUCCUCCUCCUUCUCUGUUGGGGCUUCACUGUCCCUGGGAUAAGAAUAACAAUGCCAAGGUUUUCAUUCUUGAAAGGAGCAAUUAAGCGUCUCACCCCCUCCUCAUUUUAGAUGGGAACUGUGAGGGUCCCGUCAUUUACCCAGGGUCCCUGUUGAGGAUCUUGUCCUCAUUAGAUGACUUCUUGUGCAGCUUCCAUGCGUGAUUCUUUACUCUUGUGGCACUGAGAGGUUUGUACAUGUCUUUAAGCCAGAGCGGCUUUCUGAAUGAAAAAAGUCCAUCCUAGAAGAUAGAAAGGGAAAUAUUAAUUUUGCAUGUCCUCUGCUUUCCCUGGUCACAGCAAUGAAUCCUCCAAUGUACCUGACUCUCCCUUUGCGAAGAGCAUCUCCGUGGCAGAAAUCUGAAAAUGCCCCUGGGGAGACACAUGCACAAGACAGUUCGUGAGCCACACAUCUCCCCACACCAAGCUCCUCCAUACAAGACCUCGGACUGCAUCACGUAAAUGCUUUUUCAGGGGCAAAAUCUAGAGAAUCUGAAACGAGCUAUCAGCUUCCCAGUUUGCACAAUUCAUCAAGAAAUUAUGCGGGGUCACUGGCACAAAUGAUGAGGCAUCUCCUGGAAGCUUAACUUCUUAUCCAUCCCAUCUCUUGGACAGAUGAUGCCAGUUAAUUACUUUGAAUGUGGCCUAGGGAUUUCUGGGAGGAUCCGAAGAACAAGGCUGUCUGCAGUAGGAGCCUCCUGUUCCUCGCCACCUAAGCUUCAGCCCUGCCCAACUAACAGCUCUCCAUGUUCUAAAGAAGGUGGGAGUGCUGGACCACCCCAGCCUUCUGGAACCCCAGUUCUGUGACAUUAUCCAUCUCCUGGAAAUAUGCUGGUUUUAACCAUGCAAACUGGCCAAGCAUCAGGCAGAAAUAGCAGCUGUGCCUGGAAGGACAGGUGACAUCUGUGAAGAAAAUGGCCAAGCAGGACAGGGUGGAGAGCACGGGCUGUUCCCUUCCUUUCUGGGAACAGCACCACCUUUGGGGGAACUCCUUCUCUCAUGGGGUUUUAGGCAGGGGCUGCCAGUCCCAGGGCCCUGCCUCCUGUCACCCCCCAUAUGCAUAGGAACACUUGUGCACCAGUCGCUACAUUUGCAAGUGGAAGCUGGUGGAGCUGCUCAGCUCCCAACAGGAAGCCCAUGUGUGCGGGGCCAGAGGACACAGCCCAUCUGAGGCGCUAAGCUUCUGUGAAGAGGGAGUGGAGUCUGGAUGGGAUUCCAAUCCCACGGUCCACCCCUUCUGGGACCCAGACUCACCCUUCCCCUUCCUUCAAUUCUGAGAAACAAUAAAUGUCCCUACUUGCGAACAA
RNAcentral lists this long non-coding RNA (3964 nucleotides) under Homo sapiens (human). Its description in RNAcentral is "HSALNT0390236". The record is from RNAcentral. Lineage: Eukaryota; Metazoa; Chordata; Mammalia; Primates; Hominidae.